GGAUCUCUUGGCUCUCGCAUCGAUGAAGAACGCAGCGAAAUGCGAUAAGUAAUGUGAAUUGCAGAAUUCAGUGAAUCAUCGAAUCUUUGAACGCACAUAGCGCCCUUUGGUAUUCCUUAGGGCAUACCUGUUCGAGCGUCA
RNAcentral lists this ribosomal RNA (141 nucleotides) under uncultured Tuber. RNAcentral describes it as "5.8S ribosomal RNA". It matches the Rfam family "5.8S ribosomal RNA". Rfam says of the family: 5.8S ribosomal RNA (5.8S rRNA) is a component of the large subunit of the eukaryotic ribosome. It is transcribed by RNA polymerase I as part of the 45S precursor that also contains 18S and 28S rRNA. Lineage: Eukaryota; Fungi; Ascomycota; Pezizomycetes; Pezizales; Tuberaceae. The record is from RNAcentral.